Molecule: transfer-messenger RNA, 354 nt
Filed under: Lysobacteraceae
Lineage: Bacteria; Pseudomonadati; Pseudomonadota; Gammaproteobacteria; Lysobacterales
Also listed under: 2 other names
Description: Luteimonas_D sp014212025 Standard tmRNA
Rfam family: transfer-messenger RNA
About the family: Bacterial tmRNA, also known as 10Sa RNA or SsrA, is named for its dual tRNA and mRNA-like properties. Its role is to liberate the mRNA from a stalled ribosome.
Source: RNAcentral
GGGGGUGCACUGGCUUCGACGGGGGUCGCGAAAUCGCCUGGCGCAUGCCGAGGGGGUAGCUUUCCUCGUAAAUCCAGCUGCAAAACUCUAGUUGCCAACGACGACAACUACGCUCUCGCCGCUUAAGGCGUAAGCCCCGAACCCACUUGUGCCCGUGCUCGUGGAUGUAGGGUCAUUAUCACGGAACCGGCUGCGGUGGUUGCCUGUCAACCGCGGCUUAACAAAAACAGGCUGGUCCUGGGGUGCGCUUCGCCCACUGUGCUGCCACAGGACGAGACCCAACGGUGAGCUAAGCAUGUAGUGCCGGGGAUGGAGUGCCUUCGGACGGGGGUUCGAUUCCCCCCACCUCCACCA